GACGAACGCUGGCGGCGUGCUUAACACAUGCAAGUCGAACGGAAAGGCCCUGCUUUUGUGGGGUGCUCGAGUGGCGAACGGGUGAGUAACACGUGAGUAAACUGCCCUUGACUUUGGGAUAACUUCAGGAAACUGGGGCUCAUACCGGAUAGGAGCUCCUGCUGCAUGGUGGGGGUUGGAAAGUUUCGGCGGUUGGGGAUGGACUGGCGGGUUAUCAGCUUGUUGGUGAGGUAGUGGCUUACCAAGGCUUUGACGGGUAGCCGGCCUGAGAGGGUGACCGGCCACAUUGGGACUGAGAUACGGCCCAGACUCCUACGGGAGGCAGCAGUGGGGAAUAUUGCACAAUGGGCGGAAGCCUGAUGCAGCAACGCCGCGUGCGGGAUGACGGCCUUCGGGUUGUAAACCGCUUUCGCCUGUGACGAAGCGUGAGUGACGGUAAUGGGUAAAGAAGCACCGGCUAACUACGUG
RNAcentral lists this ribosomal RNA (468 nucleotides) under uncultured bacterium. Its description in RNAcentral is "partial 16S ribosomal RNA". It matches the Rfam family "Bacterial small subunit ribosomal RNA", at positions 28 to 507 of the family's 1533-position model. The record is from RNAcentral.